AUGCGAUAAGUAAUGUGAAUUGCAGAAUUCAGUGAAUCAUCGAAUCUUUGAACGCACCUUGCGCUCCUUGGUAUUCCGAGGAGCAUGCCUGUUUGAGUGUCAUUAAAUUCUCAACCUCACCAGUUUUGUCAUGAGACUGUGUAAGGCUUGGAUUAUGGGAGUUUGUGCAGGCUGCCUCAGUGCUGGUCUGCUCUCCUGAAAAGCAUUAGCGAGUUUCAACUGAGCUCCGUCUAUUGGUGUGAUAAUUAUCUACGCCGUGGAUAGAGUUUAGACUUGCUUCUAACCGUCCGCAAGGACAAUGACUUUGACAAUUUGACCUCAAAUCAGGUAGGACUACCCGCUGAACUUAA
Molecule: unclassified non-coding RNA, 350 nt
Filed under: uncultured Psathyrella
Lineage: Eukaryota; Fungi; Basidiomycota; Agaricomycetes; Agaricales; Psathyrellaceae
Description: partial contains 5.8S ribosomal RNA, internal transcribed spacer 2, and large subunit ribosomal RNA
Rfam family: 5.8S ribosomal RNA (bases 1-102)
Source: RNAcentral